Unclassified non-coding RNA from Macaca fascicularis (crab-eating macaque), 148 nucleotides. It matches the Rfam family "Metazoan signal recognition particle RNA". Rfam says of the family: The signal recognition particle (SRP) is a universally conserved ribonucleoprotein. It is involved in the co-translational targeting of proteins to membranes. NCBI's taxonomy places the organism in Eukaryota, Metazoa, Chordata, Mammalia, Primates, Cercopithecidae. The record is from Ensembl.
GCUGGGUGUGGUGGUACAUGCCUGUAAUCCCAGCUGCUUGGGAGGCUGAGGCAGGAGAAUCACUUGAACCCAGGAGGUGGAGGUUGCAGUGAGCUGAAAUUGUGCCACUGCACUCCAACCUGGGUGAUAGAGUGAGACUCUGUCUCAA